Macrosteles quadrilineatus (aster leafhopper) is the source of this 621-nucleotide long non-coding RNA. RefSeq lists it as uncharacterized. The transcript has 3 exons. Lineage: Eukaryota; Metazoa; Arthropoda; Insecta; Hemiptera; Cicadellidae. The record is from RefSeq and is a predicted model, not a curated record.
UAACCUAAACAUUUAUUUAUUUAAAUGUUUGUUAUACACGAUUUUUAUACGAGAAAUGGCAACAAUUACAUGCUAUAUGACAAUGAAAAUGCAAGAAAUAUUUAUAGUGAGAAGUUAAAAGAUAUAAAAAUGAAGUGAAGUGAAGGAUAACGGCAUUGCAAAUUAAUGAAUCUUGUCACUUGUCAAUGGUCCGGCUGGUGUUGACAGAAGAUAAAGGAAAAGGAGAGGAACAAUAAUUAUUAUUAAAUUUUAAGCAUCAAAAAAUUCCAAAACUAUUGUGGUGUUGAAAUCCAGUAAGUUGUGUUUUAAUCCAAUCCUGUUCCUAGGCCUUGUUAUUCAAAGUAACAAAAUGCAGUAAAUUUUCUUGUAAAGCUUGGAGCAUUACAAAUGUUUGGUGUUAAUGUAUGAGAGUACUUCACAUGUAAACAAUAUUGAUGAAUUGUCUGCUUAUUUGGGGCCAAAUAAGAAGGAGAGAAAUUUUCUUGGAAAAGAAUCGAAAGCAAUAAAGAUAAGAUAUCAUGACAGAAGAAUGCAGAAGGGUUGCUCAGCUAUUAACUUCGCCUUAUAAUCUUUAUUUGUAUUUCAAUUGUGUUGUAAGAAGUAUUUUUUAAACAGUAAAAC